UGGAAGGUCCGCCGAAUGCAUUUGAGCGAA
This 30-nucleotide non-coding RNA is filed under the name Rattus norvegicus (Norway rat). The record is from RNAcentral. Lineage: Eukaryota; Metazoa; Chordata; Mammalia; Rodentia; Muridae.